CAGCUGUUACUUUACUUGGAUCUUGACACANUCCUACAUUGGAUAACUGUGGGUAAUUCUANAGCUAAUACAUGCAUAUAGNNCAUCUGACCUCACGGGAAGAGUGCAUUUAUUAGAACAAAACCAAGCGGCUUCGGCUGUUUCUGGUUGACUCAUAGUAACUGAGCUGAUCGCAUGGUCUUGCACCGGCGACGUGUCUUUCAAGUAUCUGCCGUAUCAACUUUCGAUGGUAGUGUAUCUGACUACCAUGGUGAUCACGCGUAACGGAGAAUAAGGGUUCGGCUCCGGAGAGUUCGCCUGAGAAAUCGCGAACACAUCUAAGGAAGGCAGCAGGCGCGAAAAUUACCCACUCUCAGCACGAGGAGGUAGUGACGAAAAAUAACGAGACCGUUCUCUUAUGAGGCCGGUCAUCGGAAUGGGUACAAUUUAAACCCUUUAACGAGUAUCUAUGAGAGGGCAAGUCUGGUGCCAGCAGCCGCGGUAAUUCCAGCUCUCAAAGUGCAUAGAAUUAUUGCUGCGGUUAAAAAGCUCGUAGUUGGAUCUGUGCCAUAGGACGUGGUCCACCUUCGGGUGCGUACUACGCUCCUAGGCUUUUUGCUGGUUUUCCCGUCGUAGCCUUCACUGGUUGCGGCGGGUGGCUGGCGAGUUUACUUUGAGAAAAUCAGAGUGCUCAAUACAGGCGUAUCGCUUGAAUGAUUGUGCAUGGAAUAAUAGAAAAGGAUUCSAAGUCCUCUUUUAUUGGUUUUGUGGACUGASAYAAUGGUUAACAGGGACAACACGGGGGCAUKCGUAUCUCUGCGUGAGAGGUGAAAUUCUUGGACCGUAGAAAGACGCACUACUGCCAAAGCAUUUGCCAAGAAUGUCUUCAUUAGUCAAGAACAAAAGUCAANAGGUUC
This 896-nucleotide ribosomal RNA is filed under the name Nematoda environmental sample. RNAcentral describes it as "SSU rRNA". It matches the Rfam family "Eukaryotic small subunit ribosomal RNA", at positions 104 to 1010 of the family's 1831-position model. The record is from RNAcentral. Lineage: Eukaryota; Metazoa; Nematoda.